GGGGGCGACCAGGUUUCGACCGGACGGUCAUCUUCUCCGGUGGCGUGCAGAGGCUCCGGGAGGCCUCUCAAAAACCCGGAAACGGUCAAGUUGCCGAAAAUAACUACUCUCUCGCUGCCUAGUUAAAAGCUAGCCAGCCGUCCUCCCUGCCAUGCCCGUGGGGUGGGUGAGGACGCCAUCACACGGGCUGGCUCGGCGUUCGGACGCGCGGCGCAGAGCGAGAACCUAGCGCGACUAGCGCGCGUGGAACCCUGUUCGUCGGGGUCCACGUGAGCGGGAAACACUAGACGAACUACGCACGUAGAAGCCGGUUUGGGUGCGUCUUGGGACGCGGGUUCGAUUCCCGCCGCCUCCAUCG
RNAcentral lists this transfer-messenger RNA (358 nucleotides) under Planctomycetota. Its description in RNAcentral is "JADKAF01 sp016719295 Standard tmRNA". It matches the Rfam family "transfer-messenger RNA". Rfam says of the family: Bacterial tmRNA, also known as 10Sa RNA or SsrA, is named for its dual tRNA and mRNA-like properties. RNAcentral also lists the same sequence under 1 other name. The record is from RNAcentral. Lineage: Bacteria; Pseudomonadati.